Molecule: ribosomal RNA, 322 nt
Filed under: uncultured Bodomorpha
Lineage: Eukaryota; Cercozoa; Glissomonadida
Description: SSU rRNA
Rfam family: Eukaryotic small subunit ribosomal RNA
Source: RNAcentral
GAUUUCUGGCUUGAAACAUCUGGCCGGCCACGGUUUCGUGUGUUAGUGCUUGAUGUUCUGGCCAUCCUUCCAAUCGCUAUUGGCUAUUCUUCAUUGAAUGGUCAGUAGUAUUGGAUCUUUUACUUUGAAAAAAUUAGAGUGUUUCAAGCAGGCUUUAUGCUAUGAAUACAUUAGCAUGGAAUAAUAAUUUAGGACUUUGUUUCUAUUUUGUUGGUUUCUAGGAAUGAAGUAAUGAUUGAUAGGGACAGUUGGGGGUGCUAGUAUUCAUCGGCCAGAGGUGAAAUUCUUGGAUUCGAUGAAGACUAACUUAUGCGAAAGCAUU